GCAAGUCGAACGGCAGCACAGUGGAGCUUGCUCCAUGGGUGGCGAGUGGCGGACGGGUGAGGAAUACAUCGGAAUCUGCCCAGUCGUGGGGGAUAACAUAGGGAAACUUAUGCUAAUACCGCAUACGACCUACGGGUGAAAGCGGGGGAUCGCAAGACCUCGCGCGAUUGGAUGAGCCGAUGUCCGAUUAGCUAGUUGGCGGGGUAAUGGCCCACCAAGGCGACGAUCGGUAGCUGGUCUGAGAGGAUGAUCAGCCACACUGGAACUGAGACACGGUCCAGACUCCUACGGGAGGCAGCAGUGGGGAAUAUUGGACAAUGGGCGCAAGCCUGAUCCAGCCAUGCCGCGUGGGUGAAGAAGGCCUUCGGGUUGUAAAGCCCUUUUGUCCGGAAAGAAAAGCCUCGGAUUAAUACUCUGGGGUAAUGACGGUACCGGAAGAAUAAGCACCGGCUAACUUCGUGCCAGCAGCCGCGGUAAUACGAAGGGUGCAAGCGUUACUCGGAAUUACUGGGCGUAAAGCGUGCGUAGGUGGUUUGUUAAGUCUGAUGUGAAAGCCCUGGGCUCAACCUGGGAAUGGCAUUGGAAACUGGCAGGCUAGAGUGCGGUAGAGGAUGGCGGAAUUCCCGGUGUAGCAGUGAAAUGCGUAGAGAUCGGGAGGAACAUCUGUGGCGAAGGCGGCCAUCUGGACCAGCACUGACAC
This 700-nucleotide ribosomal RNA is filed under the name uncultured bacterium. RNAcentral's name for it is "bacterial SSU rRNA". It matches the Rfam family "Bacterial small subunit ribosomal RNA", at positions 57 to 746 of the family's 1533-position model. The record is from RNAcentral.